Molecule: non-coding RNA, 183 nt
Filed under: Gammaproteobacteria bacterium
Lineage: Bacteria; Pseudomonadati; Pseudomonadota; Gammaproteobacteria
Also listed under: 1 other name
Description: 6S RNA
Rfam family: 6S / SsrS RNA
About the family: E. coli 6S RNA was the first non coding RNA to be sequenced, but its function was unknown until recently.
Source: RNAcentral
CGCUGCCUGCGGUGUUGGUGAUGUCCGCCGUAAUUCCUUUGAGCCUUAAUUCACCGUUCAGGGAGCCAGCAGUGGACGCGGGCGAGUACGCCGGCAUGUCCGGCGUCCCAAAGCGGCCCUCGGCGCCCACUUGGAUCACACCGGUUCAAGGCACCGCGGACACACGGCAUUGGCGGGCAGCGU